Molecule: ribosomal RNA, 505 nt
Filed under: uncultured bacterium
Lineage: Bacteria
Description: bacterial SSU rRNA
Rfam family: Bacterial small subunit ribosomal RNA
Source: RNAcentral
GCUGGCGGCGUGCUUACCAUGCAAGUCGAACGGAGUAUUCCGCCCGAGACCUGAUGUAGCUUGCUAUGGAUGGGAUCAAUUGGAAUACUUAGUGGCGGACGGGUGAGUAACGCGUGAGUAACCUGCCCUUGAGUGGGGAAUAACACCGAGAAAUCGGUGCUAAUACCGCAUAAUGUCGGAGAACCGCAUGAUUUUCCGACCAAAGGAUUUAUUCGCUUAAGGAUGGACUCGCGUCCGAUUAGCUAGUUGGUGAGGUAACGGCCCACCAAGGCAACGAUCGGUAGCCGAACUGAGAGGUUGAUCGGCCACAUUGGGACUGAGACACGGCCCAGACUCCUACGGGAGGCAGCAGUGGGGAAUAUUGGGCAAUGGGCGCAAGCCUGACCCAGCAACGCCGCGUGAAGGAUGAAGGUCUUCGGAUUGUAAACUUCUUUGAUCAGGGACGAAUUUUGACGGUACCUGAAGAACAAGUCACGGCUAACUACGUGCCAGCAGCCGCGGUAAU